This 85-nucleotide long non-coding RNA is filed under the name Meriones unguiculatus (Mongolian gerbil). Its description in RNAcentral is "FTX transcript, XIST regulator conserved region 2 (ENSMUGG00000021833.1)". It matches the Rfam family "FTX transcript, XIST regulator conserved region 2". The record is from RNAcentral. Lineage: Eukaryota; Metazoa; Chordata; Mammalia; Rodentia; Muridae.
CUGUGAGACUAUCUUUUUUGAGGUCACUCACUCAUAGGAUCUGGUAAAUUCUAAACCAUUUUUCAAACAUAUCUUCCUCAGAGCC